Molecule: ribosomal RNA, 505 nt
Filed under: uncultured Tepidimicrobium sp.
Lineage: Bacteria; Bacillati; Bacillota; Tissierellia; Tissierellales; Tepidimicrobiaceae
Description: bacterial SSU rRNA
Rfam family: Bacterial small subunit ribosomal RNA
Source: RNAcentral
UAGAGUUUCGAUCCUGGCUCAGGACGAACGCUGGCGGCGUGCCUAACACAUGCAAGUCGAGCGAAGCACUUGCGACAGAGUCUUUCGGGGCGAAGUUGCAAGUGACUUAGCGGCGGACGGGUGAGUAACGCGUGAGGAACCUACCUCCCACAAGGGGAUAGCCUCGGGAAACCGGGAUUAAUACCCUAUGACACUUAGGUGUCGCAUGACGCCUAGGUUAAAGCGCUUUAGCGGUGGGAGAUGGCCUCACGUCCCAUUAGCUAGUUGGUGAGGUAACGGCUCACCAAGGCGACGAUGGGUAGCCGGCCUGAGAGGGUGACCGGCCACACUGGGACUGAGACACGGCCCAGACUCCUACGGGAGGCAGCAGUGGGGACUAUUGCACAAUGGGCGAAAGCCUGAUGCAGCGACGCCGCGUGAGCGAAGAAGGCCUUCGGGUCGUAAAGCUCUGUCCUAUGGGACGAUAAUGACGGUACCAUAGGAGGAAGCCCCGGCUAACUACGUG